This 112-nucleotide small RNA is filed under the name uncultured Enterovibrio sp. Lineage: Bacteria; Pseudomonadati; Pseudomonadota; Gammaproteobacteria; Vibrionales; Vibrionaceae. The record is from RNAcentral.
GGCACCACAACCACUAUCACCAUUAUUACCAACACCACUGGUGCGGGUGCGGGCUGAUAUGCACUGAAUUUAGAAGAAGAGCCCGUACCCCUACAAGGUACGGGCUUUUUUU